GUGGGGAAUUUUGGACAAUGGGCGAAAGCCUGAUCCAGCCAUUCCGCGUGCAGGAUGAAGGCCCUCGGGUUGUAAACUGCUUUUGUACAGAACGAAAAAGCUCCGGCUAAUACCUGGAGUCCAUGACGGUACUGUAAGAAUAAGCACCGGCUAACUACGUGCCAGCAGCCGCGGUAAUACGUAGGGUGCAAGCGUUAAUCGGAAUUACUGGGCGUAAAGCGUGCGCAGGCGGUUUUGUAAGACAGAGGUGAAAUCCCCGGGCUCAACCUGGGAACUGCCUUUGUGACUGCAAGGCUGGAGUGCGGCAGAGGGGGAUGGAAUUCCGCGUGUAGCAGUGAAAUGCGUAGAUAUGCGGAGGAACACCGAUGGCGAAGGCAAUCCCCUGGGCCUGCACUGACGCUCAUGCACGAAAGCGUGGGGAGCGAACAGGAUUAGAUACCCCUGUAGUCC
Molecule: ribosomal RNA, 450 nt
Filed under: uncultured bacterium
Lineage: Bacteria
Description: partial 16S ribosomal RNA
Rfam family: Bacterial small subunit ribosomal RNA
Source: RNAcentral